This 492-nucleotide ribosomal RNA is filed under the name uncultured bacterium. RNAcentral's name for it is "partial 16S ribosomal RNA". It matches the Rfam family "Bacterial small subunit ribosomal RNA", at positions 29 to 507 of the family's 1533-position model. The record is from RNAcentral.
AGUGAACGCUGGCGGUAGGCCUAACACAUGCAGGUCGAACGGCAGCACAGUAAGAGCUUGCUCUUACGGGUGGCGAGUGGCGGACGGGUGAGGAAUACAUCGGAAUCUACUUUUUCGUGGGGGAUAACGUAGGGAAACUUACGCUAAUACCGCAUACGACCUACGGGUGAAAGCAGGGGAUCUUCGGACCUUGGGCGAUUGAAUGAGCCGAUGUCGGAUUAGCUAGUUGGCGGGGUAAAGGCCCACCAAGGCGACGAUCCGUAGCUGGUCUGAGAGGAUGAUCAGCCACACUGGAACUGAGACACGGUCCAGACUCCUACGGGAGGCAGCAGUGGGGAAUAUUGGACAAUGGGCGCAAGCCUGAUCCAGCCAUACCGCGUGGGUGAAGAAGGCCUUCGGGUUGUAAAGCCCUUUUGUUGGGAAAGAAAAGCAGCAGGUUAAUACCCCGCUGUUCUGACGGUACCCAAAGAAUAAGCACCGGCUAACUUCGUG